This 292-nucleotide ribosomal RNA is filed under the name uncultured bacterium. RNAcentral's name for it is "partial 16S ribosomal RNA". It matches the Rfam family "Bacterial small subunit ribosomal RNA", at positions 505 to 796 of the family's 1533-position model. The record is from RNAcentral.
GUGCCAGCCGCCGCGGUAAUACGGAGGGUGCAAGCGUUAUCCGGAAUCACUGGGUUUAAAGGGUGCGUAGGCGGCUAGGUAAGUCAGGGGUGAAAGGUCACGGCUCAACUGUGGAAUUGCCUUUGAUACUGCCAAGCUUGAAUCAGGAUGAGGUCGGCGGAAUGUGGCAUGUAGCGGUGAAAUGCAUAGAUAUGCCAUAGAACACCAAUUGCGAAGGCAGCUGGCUAGACCUUGAUUGACGCUGAGGCACGAAAGCGUGGGGAGCGAACAGGAUUAGAUACCCUUGUAGUCC